UUACGGCUAUAUCACAUUGAAACGCAGAUUCUUAUACGAUCACCGAAGAUAAGCAAUAUCGAGCCUGGUCAGUACCUAGAUGGGUGACCGCUUAGGAAUACCAGAUG
Non-coding RNA from Acanthosepion pharaonis, 107 nucleotides. The record is from the annotation of a GenBank genome assembly. NCBI's taxonomy places the organism in Eukaryota, Metazoa, Mollusca, Cephalopoda, Sepiida, Sepiidae.